Molecule: long non-coding RNA, 559 nt
Filed under: Mytilus galloprovincialis (Mediterranean mussel)
Lineage: Eukaryota; Metazoa; Mollusca; Bivalvia; Mytilida; Mytilidae
Source: RNAcentral
UAAAAAUAUAGAAACGAGGACAAAAAUAUAAUUUUGUGAAUGCAAUUUCGGUACAUUGCAUGUUGAAACAAGAAGAUGAUUCAAAAUUUGCUGUUGUAUAAUUCUCCACUUACGUUUAAAUAACAAAUUAUAAACCGAUAUCAGAAGAGAUCAAAUGUAGUUAAACGCUCGACAACACAAGCGUUUAUCGGUUACGAUUUUUCAACAUGUCUACAUCGUUAAACUGCAUGUAAGAAUUUCAAAAGAUGCACAGAAUAUUAAUUGUGUGCUAUUAUUUGGUAGCUAUUGUUGCAAAUGAAGACUUUCUGUUGGAAAAAUUUCCUGACGAUUUUGGAUGGGGAGUAUGUAGUUCAGCAUACCAAACUGAGGGAGCAUGGAACGAACACGGUAAUACUUUCUAGAAUUUAUUUGUCAAAUCAAAUAUAAGUUGUUAAUUUCUGUGUUAUUUGGUCUCUUGUGGAGAGUUGUCUCAUUGGCAAUCAUACUACAUCUUUAUUUUUUUUUUAUAUAAGUAAGGUCCACAUGUACUCAGGAUGCAGACAAACUCAUUAAAACCAAC